This 783-nucleotide long non-coding RNA is filed under the name Androctonus crassicauda. Lineage: Eukaryota; Metazoa; Arthropoda; Arachnida; Scorpiones; Buthidae. The record is from RNAcentral.
UCCUCCAUUGCCAACAAAAUAGAAUUGCUGUGUGAUAGAUUGCUCAAGAAUUGGGCUUAAACAAAUCUACAAUCAGAAUCUUCCACAAACACUAUAAGGAGAUCAAUUCCAUCAAACCUGGAUCAGCAAUGGUAGACCACCAAGGACUACUGCAAAGAGAAGAUAGAGUUUUGCAUUGCCUUAUCAUUAAACACUGACCUGGUACAUUUGUGGAAGCUACAGAAUUAUAGACCAAACACAUAAGCCAACCUGUAUCUUGAUGAACUGCUAGUAGCAGGCUACACAACAUGGGAUAUGGUUCUUAGGAGGGUAAGCAAAAAGCUAUGUUGAUACCAGCUCAGCAAAAGAAGAGCAUUACCUAUCUUGGACAGAGGUUGAUUGGAGGAAGAUGAUAUGGUCUGAUGAGUCUCCCUUCCCAGUCCUAAAUAUAAAUAUUGGAUAGAGAGUCAUCUGUGAGCCAAAUGAAGAACUUCUCCAAAAUUAUGUAUAAGAAGAAGUGAAGUUUCUAGAUACUGUGCAAGUGUGGGAGUUUUGCCUCUUCUGGAAUAAGUGAUUUGGUUCCAUAUGAUGGAUAUAUCAAUGCACAACAUUACUAGAAAAUCUUGGAAUAACAUUUCCUGCCUUCCAUCGCCUGCCUUUAUCCAUAGGAAGAUUCAAUCUUCCAGCAAGAUCUUGCAUUGCAUGCUUCACUACUGCUUGACUCAUUGCAAUUACUUCCACUGUUUAUACUGCUUUCUCACUAAGAACUUUUGGAAUCAAGUACAUAUUGGGGCAGUUGUGCUA